This 460-nucleotide ribosomal RNA is filed under the name uncultured bacterium. RNAcentral's name for it is "partial 16S ribosomal RNA". It matches the Rfam family "Bacterial small subunit ribosomal RNA", at positions 338 to 795 of the family's 1533-position model. The record is from RNAcentral.
CCUACGGGUGGCAGCAGUGAGGAAUAUUGGUCAAUGGCCGGAAGGCUGAACCAGCCAUGCCGCGUGAAGGUCAGUGCCCUAUGGGCGUUAAACUUCUUUUGUGCGGGAGCAAUAAUGGUCACGUGUGGCCAGACGAGAGUACCGUACGAAUAAGCAUCGGCUAACUCCGUGCCAGCAGCCGCGGUAAUACGGGGGAUGCAAGCGUUUUCCGGAUUUAUUGGGUUUAAAGGGUGCGUAGGCUGUGAGGUAAGUCAGCGGUGAAAUGCCCCCGCUCAACGGGGUGAAGUGCCAUUGCUACUGCCUGGCUGGAAGGCGGAUGCCGUGGGAGGAAUGUGUGGUGUAGCGGUGAAAUGCAUAGAUAUCACACAGAACACCGAUUGCGAAGGCAUCUCACGAAUCCGCGAUUGACGCUGAUGCACGAAAGCGUGGGUAUCAAACAGGAUUAGAUACCCGGGUAGUC